Molecule: ribosomal RNA, 253 nt
Filed under: uncultured bacterium
Lineage: Bacteria
Description: partial 16S ribosomal RNA
Rfam family: Bacterial small subunit ribosomal RNA
Source: RNAcentral
GACGAACCGUGCGAACGUUGUUCGGAAUCACUGGGCUUAAAGGGCGCGUAGGCGGUCGAUCAAGUCCGGGGUGAAAUCUUUCGGCUUAACCGGAAAAGUGCCUUGGAUACUGAUAGGCUGGAGGGAGGUAGGGGGAGCUGGAACUUCCAGUGGAGCGGUGAAAUGCGUUGAUAUUGGAAGGAACUCCGGUGGCGAAAGCGAGCUCCUGGACCUCUUCUGACGCUGAGGCGCGAAAGCUAGGGGAGCAAACGGG